This 463-nucleotide ribosomal RNA is filed under the name uncultured bacterium. RNAcentral's name for it is "partial 16S ribosomal RNA". It matches the Rfam family "Bacterial small subunit ribosomal RNA", at positions 28 to 506 of the family's 1533-position model. The record is from RNAcentral.
GACGAACGCUGGCGGCGUGCUUAACACAUGCAAGUCGAACGGAAAGGCCCCUUUGGGGGUACUCGAGUGGCGAACGGGUGAGUAACACGUGAGUAACCUGCCCUUGACUUCGGGAUAACUUCAGGAAACUGGGGCUAAUACCGGAUAGGAAUCCUUGCUGCAUGGUGGGGGUUGGAAAGCUUCGGCGGUUUUGGAUGGACUCGCGGCUUAUCAGCUUGUUGGUGGGGUAGUGGCUUACCAAGGCUUUGACGGGUAGCCGGCCUGAGAGGGCGACCGGCCAAAUUGGGACUGGGAUACGGCCCGGGCCCCUACGGGGGGAAGGAGGGGGGAAUUUUGCCAAAUGGGCGGAAGCCUGAUGGAGCAACGCCGGGUGGGGGAUGACGGCCUUCGGGUUGUAAACCGCUUUAGGGAGGGGCGAAGCUUUUGGGACGGUACCGGAAGAAGAAGCACCGGCAAACUACGG